RNAcentral lists this microRNA precursor (90 nucleotides) under Canis lupus familiaris (dog). RNAcentral's name for it is "mir-8799 microRNA precursor family". It matches the Rfam family "mir-8799 microRNA precursor family". RNAcentral also lists the same sequence under 1 other name. The record is from Rfam by way of RNAcentral. Lineage: Eukaryota; Metazoa; Chordata; Mammalia; Carnivora; Canidae.
GGGGGGAGGCCGGAUCCGGGGCUGUGUCCCGGAGCCCAGUGCUCCCGGGCCUGCGCUGGUGGAUUCGCGCUCCCGGCGGCGCAGCCCCCU